This 207-nucleotide ribosomal RNA is filed under the name uncultured bacterium. RNAcentral describes it as "partial 16S ribosomal RNA". It matches the Rfam family "Bacterial small subunit ribosomal RNA", at positions 568 to 774 of the family's 1533-position model. The record is from RNAcentral.
UGCGUAGGCGGUUUGGUAAGUCAGAUGUGAAAUUCCUGGGCUCAACCGAGGAACUGCAUUUGAUACUGCCAGACUAGAGUACUGGAGAGGAGACUGGAAUUUACAGUGUAGCAGUGAAAUGCGUAGAUAUCGUAAGGAAGGCCAGUGGCGAAGGCGAGUCUCUGGACAGUAACUGACGCUGAGGCACGAAGGCUAGGGGAGCAAACG